This is an unclassified non-coding RNA of Papio anubis (olive baboon), 147 nucleotides long. It matches the Rfam family "Metazoan signal recognition particle RNA". From Rfam's summary of the family: The signal recognition particle (SRP) is a universally conserved ribonucleoprotein. It is involved in the co-translational targeting of proteins to membranes. The record is from Ensembl. NCBI's taxonomy places the organism in Eukaryota, Metazoa, Chordata, Mammalia, Primates, Cercopithecidae.
GCUGGGCGUGGUGACGGGCGCCUGUAAUCCCAGCUACUUGGGAGGCUGAGGCAGGAGAAUCACUUGAACCCGGGGGCAGAGGUUGCAGUGAGCCAAGAUCGCACCACUGCACUCCAGCCUGGGUGACAGAGUGAGACUCCGUCUCAA